This 71-nucleotide transfer RNA is filed under the name Rhamnusium bicolor. RNAcentral describes it as "tRNA-OTHER". The stretch from base 7 to 63 matches the Rfam family "tRNA", at positions 8 to 63 of the family's 71-position model. Rfam says of the family: Transfer RNA (tRNA) molecules are approximately 80 nucleotides in length. Lineage: Eukaryota; Metazoa; Arthropoda; Insecta; Coleoptera; Cerambycidae. The record is from RNAcentral.
ACCAUAUGGUCGAGAGGCAAGGACACUUGACUUUCACUCAAAGGUCCCGGGUUCGAAUCCCGGCCGUGGCA